This 440-nucleotide ribosomal RNA is filed under the name uncultured bacterium. RNAcentral's name for it is "partial 16S ribosomal RNA". It matches the Rfam family "Bacterial small subunit ribosomal RNA", at positions 338 to 795 of the family's 1533-position model. The record is from RNAcentral.
CCUACGGGAGGCAGCAGUGGGGAAUAUUGCACAAUGGGGGAAACCCUGAUGCAGCGACGCCGCGUGAGUGAAGAAGUAAUUCGGUAUGUAAAGCUCUAUCAGCAGGGAAGAAAAUGACGGUACCUGAGUAAGAAGCCCCGGCUAACUACGUGCCAGCAGCCGCGGUAAUACGUAGGGGGCAAGCGUUAUCCGGAUUUACUGGGUGUAAAGGGAGCGUAGACGGCAGCGCAAGUCUGGAGUGAAAGCCUAGGGCUCAACCAUGGAACUGCUCUGGAAACUGUGCGGCUGGAGUGCAGGAGAGGUAAGUGGAAUUCCUAGUGUAGGGGUGAAAUGCGUAGAUAUUAGGAGGAACACCAGUGGCGAAGGCGGCUUACUGGACUGUAACUGACGUUGAGGCUCGAAAGCGUGGGGAGCAAACAGGAUUAGAUACCCUUGUAGUC